GAUGAACGCUGACAGAAUGCUUAACACAUGCAAGUCGACUCGAGUCUUCGGACUUGGGUGGCGCACGGGUGAGUAACGCGUAAAGAACUUGCCUCUUAGACCGGGACAACAUCUGGAAACGGAUGCUAAUACCGGAUAUUAUGGUUUUUUCGCAUGGAGGAAUCAUGAAAGCUAGAUGCGCUAAGAGAGAGCUUUGCGUCCCAUUAGCUAGUUGGUGAGGUAACGGCCCACCAAGGCAAUGAUGGGUAGCCGGCCUGAGAGGGUGAACGGCCACAAGGGGACUGAGACACGGCCCUUACUCCUACGGGAGGCAGCAGUGGGGAAUAUUGGACAAUGGACCACAAGUCUGAUCCAGCAAUUCUGUGUGCACGAUGACGUUUUUCGGAAUGUAAAGUGCUUUCAGUCGGGAAGAAGUCAGUGACGGUACCGACAGAAGAAGCGACGGCUAAAUACGUGCCAGCAGCCGCGGUAAUACGUAUGUCGCAAGCGUUAUCCGGAUUUAUUGGGCGUAAAGCGCGUCUAGGCGGCAAGGAAAGUCUGAUGUGAAAAUGCGGAGCUCAACUCCGUAUGGCGUUGGAAACUGCCUUACUAGAGUACUGGAGAGGUAGGCGGAACUACAAGUGUAGAGGUGAAAUUCGUAGAUAUUUGUAGGAAUGCCGAUGGGGAAGCCAGCCUACUGGACAGAUACUGACGCUAAAGCGCGAAAGCGUGGGUAGCAAACAGG
RNAcentral lists this ribosomal RNA (724 nucleotides) under uncultured Fusobacterium sp. Its description in RNAcentral is "bacterial SSU rRNA". It matches the Rfam family "Bacterial small subunit ribosomal RNA", at positions 28 to 776 of the family's 1533-position model. Lineage: Bacteria; Fusobacteriati; Fusobacteriota; Fusobacteriia; Fusobacteriales; Fusobacteriaceae. The record is from RNAcentral.